This 250-nucleotide ribosomal RNA is filed under the name uncultured prokaryote. RNAcentral describes it as "partial 16S ribosomal RNA". It matches the Rfam family "Bacterial small subunit ribosomal RNA", at positions 524 to 773 of the family's 1533-position model. The record is from RNAcentral.
UACGUAGGGGGCGAGCGUUGUCCGGAAUGACUGGGCGUAAAGGGCGUGUAGGCGGCCGACUAAGUAUGGAGUGAAAGUCCAUUUUUCAAGGAUGGAAUUGCUUUGUAGACUGGUUGGCUUGAGUGCGGAAGAGGUAAGUGGAAUUCCCAGUGUAGCGGUGAAAUGCGUAGAGAUUGGGAGGAACACCAGUGGCGAAGGCGACUUACUGGGCCGUAACUGACGCUGAGGCGCGAAAGCGUGGGGAGCGAAC